GUUUAUGUAGCAAACUCAGGCUGUGCAAAAGAUCUAAGACCUUUUUAUAGAGGUUCAAAUCCUCUCAUAAACU
RNAcentral lists this transfer RNA (73 nucleotides) under Pristimantis fenestratus (Rio Mamore robber frog). Its description in RNAcentral is "tRNA-Leu". It matches the Rfam family "tRNA". From Rfam's summary of the family: Transfer RNA (tRNA) molecules are approximately 80 nucleotides in length. Their secondary structure includes four short double-helical elements and three loops (D, anti-codon, and T loops). Lineage: Eukaryota; Metazoa; Chordata; Amphibia; Anura; Strabomantidae. The record is from RNAcentral.